This 117-nucleotide ribosomal RNA is filed under the name Lepisosteus oculatus (spotted gar). The record is from RNAcentral. Lineage: Eukaryota; Metazoa; Chordata; Actinopteri; Semionotiformes; Lepisosteidae.
GCCAGCAGAUAUAUAACCCUGCGGCUCUCAACUGGUUACCCACUGAAGCUAAGCAGGGUUGAGUCUGGAAAGUACCUGGAUUGGAGACCUCCUGGGAAGCUAUGGUUGCUGCUGGAA